GGUUCUCUACGCCUAGGCGGGAGCUCCCGGAGGCGGAGACAGCGGGCGGGGGCCUAGCGAGUGAGGGGUAACAAGAUGGCGGCGGAGACGGUGGAGCUCCAUAAGCUGAAGCUUGCUGAACUAAAGCAGGAAUGUCUUGCUCGUGGUUUGGAGACCAAGGGAAUAAAACAAGAUCUUAUCAACAGGCUCCAGGCAUAUCUUGAGGAGCACGCUGAAGAGGAGGCGAAUGAAGAAGAUGUACUGGGAGAUGAAACAGAGGAAGAAGAACCAAAGCCCAUAGAACUUCCUGUCAAAGAGGAAGAACCCCCUGAAAAAACUGUUGAUGUGGCAGCAGAGAAGAAAGUGGUAAAAAUUACAUCUGAAAUACCACAGACUGAGAGAAUGCAGAAGAGGGCUGAACGAUUCAAUGUACCUGUGAGCUUGGAGAGUAAAAAAGCUGCAAGGGCAGCUAGAUUUGGGAUUUCUUCAGUUCCAACAAAAGAGACAGAGUCUCACUUUAUAGCCCUCGGUAGAGUGCCGUGGCCUCACACAGCUCACAGCAACCUCCAACUCCUGGGCUCAGGCGAUUCUCCUGCCUCAGCCUCCCAAGUAGCUGGGACCACAGGCACCCACCACAACGCCUGGCUAUUUUUUAGUUGCAGUUUGGCCGGGGCCGGGCCUGAACCCGCCACCCUCGGUCUGUCAUCUGAAACCAAUAUGGUUAACCUGGAUAAGCUAAAGGAAAGAGCCCAAAGAUUUGGUUUGAAUGUCUCUUCAAUCUCCAGAAAGUCGGAAGAUGAUGAGAAACUGAAAAAGAGGAAGGAACGAUUUGGGAUUGUCACAAGUUCAGCAGGAACUGGAACCACAGAGGAUACAGAGGCAAAGAAGAGGAAAAGAGCAGAACGCUUUGGGAUUGCCUGAUGAAAAAUUCUUGAUGUUUUCUGUUCUCCAGUGGUUUCAAUUUCUCCGAUUCUUCCUAGUCACAUAUAUCUAAAUGCACAGUCAUGUGCCUACAUCUUGCCUCGCAUUGAGGAAGCAUGUACCCCAGGUUCAAGUGCUGGAUUGUGUCAUGUGACCAUCCCAAAACUCAGAGCACCCUAUGGCCAUCUUUGCCCUCUGUCACAUAACUUGAAAACUGCCUGAUGGCCUUUUGCAAUGGUUCCCUCCAGGAAGCCUUGAUCUCAGUGAAGAAGUCCUUUCCCGGCAUUCCAGUGCCCCUGUCAACCCCAUACUCCUCAGACAUCCUUAACAAACAAAGGCUAUCACGCACACAAUGUAACAAAUACACAAAGUAAAUAAUAAUUACACUAA
Nycticebus coucang (slow loris) is the source of this 1290-nucleotide RNA transcript. It is a transcript of the gene named SAP domain containing ribonucleoprotein, with no coding region annotated. Lineage: Eukaryota; Metazoa; Chordata; Mammalia; Primates; Lorisidae. The record is from RefSeq and is a predicted model, not a curated record. The transcript has 13 exons.